AAACCAUCAAGAAUAAUGUUGACUGUAUUUAUGUGGGCAGACUGCUGUCAUUAAGAAACAAGGUUGGCAUUUUUCUCUCUAACCUUGAACUUGAUGGUUUUAAUAUCCAAGCUAUUAAGUUUAUACCAGCAAGAAUUCUAGCAGAUAAAUCUUUUGUCAAAGCAAUGUAAGCAAACAACAAACAUAAAGAAGAGGGUAAAACAUUUAGUUUUCAGAUAACACACUCUCUAAGGACUGUCUUCUAUUUUGUGGUUCUGCACAAGGUUGUUUGAAACCGAAAAUGCUGUCUGAGGCUGGCUUUUUGAGCAGUUAGCUUCUGAAUUCAGCCCUGAAGUGAAGGCUUCAACUUCAAAUAUGGCAUUGAUGAAUUAUUGAAGAAAUUGCAGCCGGUGUUUCUGCAAAGCAUUGUGAGGCAGCUGGCUUCUUCUCUAGCAGCUCCCAUUGCUUAUUCAACUGAGGCUGGCUGUACCCAGAACAGAAGCACUUAGCAAGUUGAUGAUUAAUUUUGCUAAAGAUGUUCCAUGAUGUCCUUACAAAUCACCUAUUACUUGUAUUUUGCUGAUUUUGUGUAAAACUGGGGAGAAGGUAAGAGAAGAACAAACUAGGCUGGAGAUCACAUGGAAACUCUGAAACUCAAGACCAGAUGAAUCUGAAAUGGCAAGGAAGGCAGAAAGAAUCAAGAGGGAGAGCACGGACAAUGCACACUGGGACCCCAAAGACUGCGAAUCUUCUUUCCUUUUGCAUUUGCGUCUAUUUUCACAGACGAGGGUGAGGGCCUUAAUGCAUUUGCUGCUGCAAUUUCAGGUUUUAGAAUGUUUUGAACAAUAUGCUUCCAAUCACGCCAAUAAUUAGGGGACCCUCAUUAUCGAGUGUUAUGCCUCUUACGAUGUUACUGGCAGAGAGGGGACAUUGGCUUCACCUUGUGAGGCUUGGUUUUGUGUGACUGGCACAGAAACAGGCAUUGUUCACCUCAAUUUCUCCCCUCUUUUUCCAGGAUCCUAUUAAACCUCUUUGUUAGGAGACCCAGCUGCUUGUUUUCUCUCAAGAUAAUGACUGAAAAAUGCGCUUUUAAAAAAUCACGGGGAACAUUAUUUCUGGAAGGUCUGUCUCUUCAUCUUUUUUGCUGUCAUCUGGCUGAUGAUGAUUUUCAAUAAUCCCAUGCUAAUAAAAAUUUAUUUGAACACAUAGACCCAAUAUGGAGCUUAAAUCACCAUGGAAACCAUACACCACUGCUUUCUUUUUGCCUGUAUGGGGAUUCCUCUUUUCUUUCUUUUUUACUUCUCCAAAAACUAUUUUCAAAAAUUAUAUACAACAUAAUGUACAGAUUUUAAGUGUACAGUUUUCUAAGUUUAGACGAAUGUGUUUUCCCACAUCAUCAUCAUCCCCACCGAAAUACAGAACGUUUUCUUUAGCCCAGAAAGUUUCCUUAUCCCUUGCCCCAGUCGAUCCCUGUCUGGAAAAGCAACUAUGAUUUGGAUCAUUAUCACCAUAAAUUAGUUUUGUCUGUUUUUGUACUUUGCAUAAGUGGAAUCGUAUGGUAUAUAUUCUUUCAGGUCUGGCUUCUUUCACUUAGUAUAAUAUUCUUGAAGUUCAUUCAUAUUCCUGCACAUACCAAUAGUUUGUUUCUUUUUAUUGUUCAGAUGUAAUUCAUUGUAUGGGCUUACUACAGUUAUCUAGUCUUCUGUGGGUACGAAUGUUAAUUGUUUCUGUUUUGGGCUAUUUUGAACAGAGUUGCCAUGAAUGUUUAUAUGUAAGAUUUUGUGCAGGUGUUUGUUUUCCUUUCUCUUGUGUAAAUAUCGAAGUGUACAAUUGCUUGGUUAUGUGGUAGGUGUAUGUUUUACUCUAUAAGAAACUGUCUAGGAACUGUCCAAAGUGAUUGUCUCUUUUGAUUAAAAACAAAAAUAAAAACAAAACAUGGCUCUGUUAAA
Molecule: long non-coding RNA, 1928 nt
Organism: Ictidomys tridecemlineatus (thirteen-lined ground squirrel)
Lineage: Eukaryota; Metazoa; Chordata; Mammalia; Rodentia; Sciuridae
Source: RefSeq, a predicted model, not a curated record